UACGGAGGGGGCUAGCGUUGUUCGGAAUUACUGGGCGUAACGCGCACGUAGGCGGACUUGUAAGUCAGGGGUGAAAUCCCGAGGCUCAACCCCGGAACUGCCUUUGAUACUGCAAGUCUCGAGUCCGGAAGAGGUGAGUGGAAUUCCUAGUGUAGAGGUGAAAGUCGUAGAGAUGAGGAAGAACACCAGUGGCGAAGGCGGCUCACUGGUCCGGUACUGACGCUGAGGUGCGAAAGCGUGGGGAGCAAACAGG
Molecule: ribosomal RNA, 253 nt
Filed under: uncultured bacterium
Lineage: Bacteria
Description: partial 16S ribosomal RNA
Rfam family: Bacterial small subunit ribosomal RNA
Source: RNAcentral